UUCUAUCGCUGUCCCGAUCUUGUGUUGGGAUUGAGGAAAGUCCGGGCAACGCAGGGCGCCAUGCUUCCUAACGGGAAGACGGGUGAAAGCUUGUUUCAGCGUAACAGAAAAUAACCGUCCCGAUCUCGUAUCGGGAUAAGGGUGAAAAGGUGAGGUAAGAGCUCACCGGUUCCGGAGGCGACUUCGGAAGCCGUACGCAUCAUGGGUUGCAAGACCAAAUAUAUCACGGUUGGCAUUAUGCCGGCAGGGUUGCCCGCCCUGUUCUGUCCUUUGGGGCAGUCUCGAACUUGUUCGGGAGUCGUGAGGGGUAGGUUGCUAGAUCGUAACAGCAAUGUUGCGGCCAGAUAAAUGAUAGAAGCUCAGCUUCGGUUGAGUACAGAACCCGGCU
RNAcentral lists this RNase P RNA (388 nucleotides) under Mangrovibacterium diazotrophicum. RNAcentral describes it as "Bacterial RNase P class A". It matches the Rfam family "Bacterial RNase P class A". From Rfam's summary of the family: Ribonuclease P (RNase P) is a ubiquitous endoribonuclease, found in archaea, bacteria and eukarya as well as chloroplasts and mitochondria. Its best characterised activity is the generation of mature 5'-ends of tRNAs by cleaving the 5'-leader elements of precursor-tRNAs. The record is from RNAcentral. Lineage: Bacteria; Pseudomonadati; Bacteroidota; Bacteroidia; Marinilabiliales; Prolixibacteraceae.